Molecule: long non-coding RNA, 1316 nt
Organism: Bombina bombina (fire-bellied toad)
Lineage: Eukaryota; Metazoa; Chordata; Amphibia; Anura; Bombinatoridae
Exons: 2
Source: RefSeq, a predicted model, not a curated record
GGUAGAGGUGGAGCCAGACUGCGUCUUCUUUGCUCUGUCUACAAAACAUUUCCAGCUGGUACCAUAAAUACUGAACUAAACUUGAACAAACUGACAGAAAGGAUCAGCUGCUACCGUACUCACCUCAAAAACCUGACCUGGGUCACCUGUUGUCGUGUUUCCUUUACUACAUUCAAAGGUGUGUCAGCCGUGCUGUAUUUAUUUGCCUAAAUCCAUGUAGGGGGAGAAAACUGACAUCAAAAUUACCCAUAUUUUUGUUAUUUGGAAUCUAUUUUUUUUGUGAGGAUGCCAAAUAUUUCAGAGAACAUGUACUAUAAUCAGAACUUUCUUUGUUCAAGAGACACUUUCUUUUUUUUUUAACUUCAGUUCAUUGUUUUUGUGAAGAAAGAAUAUUCUUAUCAGCAACAGAUUUAAAUACACAGUGUUUGUUAUCAUUACUCACUGUAGGAAAAUGGGGGAGCAAUGCACUACUGGGAGCUAGCUGGGCACAUUGGUAAACCAAUGGCAAGAGGCAUAUAUGCGAAAGAGAUUAAACUUCUUGCGCUAUAAAUCCAACAGCAAGGACUAUAUUGGAAAAGAGAUUAAACUUCUUGCGCUAUAAAUCCAACAGCAAGGUACUAUAUUGGAAAAGAGAUUAAACUUCUUGCACUAUAAAUCCAACAGCAAGGCUCUGCUAAGAGCUGAAACGUUGCCGGAACUACUUUCUUCACACUAUUGUGACUCACUAAGGACACCGUACUCCAGGAAACACUGAAGCAACAAAUGGACAUCACACAGCUGAGGGUGGAAUUCCAGAGGGUGCAGGGGAGAGGAGCUCGGCGGCUUUCUUCCCAUCACACACAGAGGGUUCCCAGAGCUGUUUUAUGCUGGCGGUAUAACCGCUACACUGGAUUACAAAAACACUUGGAGCUUCUGAACAAAUUAAGGUACUGUUUCUCCACGGCUAUAACCUGCGCAGGAUUGCCGUUUUACACCAAUCCUAAAACUUUGAAAUUGAAUUGAGAAUCAUUGUUGCAGCUCAUUGUUAUUUUGCUUAAAUAACCAGGAUUCGUUUUCUCUCAUUAGUACUGCUUUUUUGAUUCCUUAACCCUGUCUGCAGCAGAGGCUAAGUAUUUUGAAGUGUCUUUAGAGGUCUUCUCUCUACAUUGAUAGGUCACUUAUAGAGAAUUACUCAUUUUAUAUAAACAAGUUUUUAUACAUUUAUUUAUGUACAUUUAGUAUUGCCUUUUUAUAUUUAUCUCAUUGUAUGAAUUAUUUCGCUUACAACUCUUUUAAUACAUUUAGUAAAGUCUAAUUAAAUUAUAUUUUAACAUUCA